ACUGUGGUGUGUUAGGUAGUACUGUGGUGUGUUAGGUAGUACUGUGGUGUGUUAGGUAGUACUGUGGUGUGUUAGGUAGUUCUGUGGUGUGUUAGGUAGUUCUGUGGUGUGUUAGGUAGUACUGUGGUGUGUUAAACCUGUAGUACUGUGGUGUGUUAGGUAGUACUGUGGUGUGUUAGGUAGUACUGUGGUGUGUUAGGUAGUACUGUGGUGUGUUAGGUAGUACUGUGGUGUGUUAGGUAGUACUGUGGUGUGUUAGGUAGUUCUGUGGUGUGUUAGGUAGUUCUGUGGUGUGUUAGGUAGUACUGUGGUGUGUUAAACCUGUAGUACUGUGGUGUGUUAGGUAGUACUGUGGUGUGUUAGGUAGUACUGUGGUG
This is a long non-coding RNA of Oncorhynchus tshawytscha (Chinook salmon), 377 nucleotides long. The record is from Ensembl. Lineage: Eukaryota; Metazoa; Chordata; Actinopteri; Salmoniformes; Salmonidae.